RNAcentral lists this ribosomal RNA (303 nucleotides) under uncultured bacterium. RNAcentral's name for it is "partial 16S ribosomal RNA". It matches the Rfam family "Bacterial small subunit ribosomal RNA", at positions 507 to 810 of the family's 1533-position model. The record is from RNAcentral.
AGCAGCAGCCGCGGUAAUACGUAGGGGGCAAGCGUUGUCCGGAAUUAUUGGGCGUAAAGCGCGCGCAGGCGGUCAUUUAAGUCUGGUGUUUAAUCCCGGGGCUCAACCCCGGAUCGCACUGGAAACUGGGUGACUUGAGUGCAGAAGAGGAGAGUGGAAUUCCACGUGUAGCGGUGAAAUGCGUAGAUAUGUGGAGGAACACCAGUGGCGAAGGCGACUCUCUGGGCUGUAACUGACGCUGAGGCGCGAAAGCGUGGGGAGCAAACAGGAUUAGAUACCCCGGUAGUCCCUGUCUCUUAUGCA